ACUCAUGACCUAUCCUAUGCAUCUUUCCUAACUUCUAAUAUUCCUAUAUUGUAUUCUAAACUCAAAUGGACCUACCUAAACUCAUUUUAAAGUGAUUGAUCACAAGAUUCCAAUCUAAAAUUAACAAAAUCUGACUUUAGAGACCAAAAUUAAACUCCACCCGUUCUAGCUCAUAAUUGAGCAACUUAGGUCUUUGAACAAGUCACAAAUGACUCAAUUACAGAACCCAAC
Molecule: long non-coding RNA, 231 nt
Filed under: Vigna radiata
Lineage: Eukaryota; Viridiplantae; Streptophyta; Magnoliopsida; Fabales; Fabaceae
Description: long non-coding RNA (VRAD_LNC002284)
Source: RNAcentral